Molecule: long non-coding RNA, 1678 nt
Filed under: Piliocolobus tephrosceles (Ugandan red Colobus)
Lineage: Eukaryota; Metazoa; Chordata; Mammalia; Primates; Cercopithecidae
Description: lncRNA (ENSPTEG00000020230.1)
Source: RNAcentral
UAUAAAAAAAUAAGUUGCAUUUUCAGAACAAAAAAUUUAUCUAUAUUAAUAUCAAAGUUUUUUCUUGCGUAAUAAAAACUAUGCAUUCAAUAGAUUUUUGUUAAAAUUUUUAAUAAUAAAACUAAAAAAAAAAAAAAAAACAACAAUAUAACUUGUUUUCUUAAUGUAGUUUCUUUUAAACAAAAAAAUUUUUAAUUUAAAAUUUUAAAAAUAAUAUUAAUUAUUACCAUUAAAUACAAAAACAUAUGCACAAAAUUGUCUAUAUAUUUUGAGUACAUUCACCCUUUCAAUAAGUUUUACACACAAGAAAAAUAUAUAUAUAUAUAUAUAUAUAUAUAUAUAUUUUGUUUUUGUAAGAAACAAAUAUAACGCAAUAAACCUUUUGAUUAUCCCACAGCUCUUUUAAAAUGUGCUGUAUGUUUUAAUGUAAGUACGCAACGAUUUAAAAAAAAAAAAAAAAAAAAAAAAAACACCACGUAAUAAAAUAUACCUUAUAUAUAUAUAUUUACGUAUACAUGUUUAUUUUUACAUGUAAAUAUCGUAUUAAUUAAACUUCACUAUACAAAAAUAUAUGUCUUUCCCUAAAUGAGAAAGUUUAAUUUUGUAAAUAUUUGCUCUUUUUAUUUUUAAGUAAGAACUUAUACAUAUUUUAAUAAAAAUAGCUACUUACUGUGUUUUUAUCCGUUUAUUUAUUUAUCUCUCUAUCUAUUUAACCAUUUUAUAAUCCCUCUUAUUUUAAUAAACUCUUUUAACCUUUAUAAUAAAGCUAUUAUUCAACAAUGAGGGAAAUAAUUUUUGUAUUACCUGUCGUGUUAUUUUUUUUUACAAGUUCUUUAACCCAAGUUAUUAAUCAGGAGAACAAUAAAAUUCCUGCGUAUAGCACUAUAGCUAAUUCAGUGCAACCUCCUCAAAUUGUUAUUGAUGUUAAUAAACAUAAAAAUGUGUAUGAUUCAAUUUUAAGAAAAAACAACAUGGAUAUUCUGGAAAAGAAUAAUAAACUGGAAAAUAUUACUAGUAGUGUGGAAGAAUUAUUACAUCUUAUUGAGGAUAACAAAAAUGAACUAUUAAAAGAUACUACUCCAGAAGAUUAUGGAUUAAAAAUAAAAACAGAAAUUAUGAAUGCAACUGAUGAACAUGUUUUAAAUUUAUUAUUAAAUAAUGAAGAAGAUAAAUUAAAAGAAACUAAGGCAGAACAAAUUGGCCCAAUCAUAGUAGUUUUACCUCAACCCUUAUCAGAUCAGGAAUCGCUUUAUUACGACAAAUACAAAGAUCUAAUAAAAGAUGUUGAACCAACGAAGAGUUUAUUAUUGAGAGUUAUCUAUUUUGAAAAAAUUGCAACAAUUAAAAGUCAAAAUAAAAAAGAAGCUACCGAUGAAUUGGAAAAUACCAAGGAUAUAAUAAAAAAGUGUGAAUCAAGAAUAAAUGCUAUUAAAGCAAUAUUAGAUGAAAUAUCAUACAACGCAUAUGGAAAUGAAGAUAAAACUACUAAAAGAUUGAAGAGCGAAAAGGAAUUUUUAAAUCAGAAAUUAAAUGUUUUAAAUCGUAAAAUUAGAAAAUUAGAACGGAAUUAUUUCAAAAAUAUUCCUCUUUUCAAAUCUUAAAUGAUGAAAAGAAGAGAGAAAAAACACAAAAAACGUAAAAAACGUAAAAAACGUAAAAAAUGUAAAAAACGUAAAAA